RNAcentral lists this transfer RNA (62 nucleotides) under Bostrichoidea sp. 1 KM-2017. RNAcentral describes it as "tRNA-Gly". Lineage: Eukaryota; Metazoa; Arthropoda; Insecta; Coleoptera. The record is from RNAcentral.
AUUUAUAUAAUAUAAAAAUUAUAUCUAACUUCCAAUUAGAAAAUCUUAAUCAAGUAUAAAUA